Molecule: unclassified non-coding RNA, 26 nt
Filed under: Mus musculus (house mouse)
Lineage: Eukaryota; Metazoa; Chordata; Mammalia; Rodentia; Muridae
Description: oocyte_clustered_small_RNA12398
Source: RNAcentral
UCACCCUGUACACCAGGCUGGCCUCG